Molecule: ribosomal RNA, 292 nt
Filed under: uncultured bacterium
Lineage: Bacteria
Description: partial 16S ribosomal RNA
Rfam family: Bacterial small subunit ribosomal RNA
Source: RNAcentral
GUGUCAGCCGCCGCGGUAACACGGGGGGAGCAAGCGUUGUUCGGAAUCACUGGGCGUAAAGGGCGUGUAGGCGGUUGGAUAAGUGGAAUGUGAAAUCCCUCGGCUCACCCGAGGACCUGCAUCCCAAACUGUCCGACUUGAGUAUGGGAGAGGAUGAGGGAAUUCCUGGUGUAGCGGUGAAAUGCGUAGAUAUCAGGAGGAACACCGGUGGCGAAGGCGCUCAUCUGGCCCAAUACUGACGCUGAGGCGCGAAAGCUAGGGGAGCAAACGGGAUUAGAAACCCCUGUAGUCC